RNAcentral lists this ribosomal RNA (1197 nucleotides) under metagenome. RNAcentral describes it as "bacterial SSU rRNA". It matches the Rfam family "Bacterial small subunit ribosomal RNA", at positions 69 to 1258 of the family's 1533-position model. The record is from RNAcentral.
GCAGCGCGGGGGCAACCCUGGCGGCGAGCGGCGAACGGGUGAGUAACACAUCGGAACGUACCCCGUCGUGGGGGAUAACGAGUCGAAAGAUUCGCUAAUACCGCAUACGACCUGAGGGUGAAAGCGGGGGACCUGCGAGGGCCUCGCGCGAUGGGAGCGGCCGAUGUCCGAUUAGCUAGUUGGUGGGGUAAGAGCCUACCAAGGCGACGAUCGGUAGCUGGUCUGAGAGGAUGAUCAGCCACACUGUGACUGAGACACGGCCCAGACUCCUACGGGAGGCAGCAGUGGGGAAUUUUGGACAAUGGGCGCAAGCCUGAUCCAGCCAUUCCGCGUGAGUGAAGAAGGCCUUCGGGUUGUAAAGCUCUUUCGGCCGGGAAGAAAUCGGGCAGGUGAAUAAUCUGCCUGGAUGACGGUACCGGAAGAAGAAGCACCGGCUAACUACGUGCCAGCAGCCGCGGUAAUACGUAGGGUGCGAGCGUUAAUCGGAAUUACUGGGCGUAAAGCGUGCGCAGGCGGCUUUGUAAGACAGGUGUGAAAUCCCCGGGCUUAACCUGGGAAUGGCGCUUGUGACUGCAAGGCUUGAGUUCGGCAGAGGGGGGUGGAAUUCCACGUGUAGCAGUGAAAUGCGUAGAGAUGUGGAGGAACACCGAUGGCGAAGGCAGCCCCCUGGGUCGCGACUGACGCUCAUGCACGAAAGCGUGGGGAGCAAACAGGAUUAGAUACCCUGGUAGUCCACGCCCUAAACGAUGUCGACUAGGUGUUGGGGAAGGAGACUUCUUUAGUACCGUAGCUAACGCGUGAAGUCGACCGCCUGGGGAGUACGGUCGCAAGAUUAAAACUCAAAGGAAUUGACGGGGACCCGCACAGGCGGUGGAUGAUGUGGAUUAAUUCGAUGCAACGCGAAAAACCUUACCUACCCUUGACAUGCCAGGAACCUUGCUGAGAGGUGAGGGUGCCCGAAAGGGAGCCUGGACACAGGUGCUGCAUGGCUGUCGUCAGCUCGUGUCGUGAGAUGUUGGGUUAAGUCCCGCAACGAGCGCAACCCUUGUCGCUAAUUGCCAUCAUUCAGUUGGGCACUUUAGCGAGACUGCCGGUGACAAACCGGAGGAAGGUGGGGAUGACGUCGAGUCCUCAUGGCCCUUAUGGGUAGGGCUUCACACGUCAUACAAUGGUCGGUACAGAGGGCUGCUAACCCGC